CCCACCCCCACCCCGGUACCUCGCAGCACCCCGGAGUAGGCAGCGAUGAUGGUCUUCAUUGCGGAGCGGUGCUCAGGUCUCGGCCAGGGCCAUGGGAUGGAAAACAGCACCCGGCUCCGAAACCCGGCGCAACCGGUUUUCCCACUUGGUUGAGUCUGACUGCACCUUCUAUCACCAGCUACAAGGCAGAAUUGUGAUACUAACUGACUCAUAACCUACUGUGUGAUAUUCACUGGACCAUGGGUGAGAAGCUUCUGCGACACAAAUCAGCAAUAAUGAUCUUAAAUUUACCAGGACAUCCAAAAGAGGCCCCAGAUCUGCUGCAGAUGUCCAUUUAGAAGCACUCACCUUUGAGGGAAACUGCAAUCGGACCUGUGCUUGCUAGUUACACCUUGUAAACAUAUUUUUGCCUCCUUUCACCUUGUCCCAGAGCUCCCCUCUGUGAAUGCAGGAGAGCAUCACUGUUGGUGGUCUGGGAGAAGGCACAAAUGCUCUUGCCCUGAAGUGCCUCUGUCUAUCAAAAGCCAAAGUUUUUGCUUCUUUGUGCUACAGAAACAGCUGAGGUUUAGGGGUUGUUUGCAAAGUUUCAGUUUGCUGUUUUAGAACAAGCAUGCUCACUAGCCACCAGUUUUAUGUAUGUUCACUGAUUAAAACAGAGGGUUAUUUUAGCAAGGAAAGGAGUUAUAUUUUCCAUUACAAAACUGGAAAUGCAGCUGCAAAGAGAAAAGCAUAAAACCGCUACAGCAAAGACCUGGGACCUACUUGACAUUUCUCCUCACACUGUUCCUGCUACUGGGAUUUCUUCAUAGGUACUCACUACUAAGGAGGCAGAAGACCCUGCUUGGCAGGGCUCUGCUACUAAAAUGAAUUUAUCUCUGAGACCUGGGCCUUCGUACAUGCUUGGAUAUUUUAUAUUAGCUCUUGAAUUUCAAAACACAUCUCCAGAAUCCAUGCGCGGUUGAAAAUGCUUCCCUUGAUGAAUGAAGAAGGAUCUUGGAACAGAACUUCAUCUCCUUCCCUUGGGAAGUCAGCUAAAAAACCAUCCUCACAACACUCUGCAAGUUGUACAAGGGACAUCCCAUAGGAGGUUGUCUUUUGAUUGCUCCUGGCUCAGCUGAUCUGACCAAUAACCUGGGCCUUCCAGCAGUGUUAGAAUAGCUUGCAGUUUCCAUACUAUGAAAAUCACAUCAUUUCUCCAAUACUUUUUGCAGUCCUGCAAUUGCAGGGCUCUAUGUAGAGAUCACGUGUGAUGAAUCAAUGGACUAGAGGUACCUCAGUCCCCCAUGGUGUUAAAUUCAGGGGGUUGCAUCACAGCCAGAUAUAAAACAACUCAGAAUUAACAAAAUCUGCAGGGAAAAGGUACGAGCCUAGUUUCACAACUCCUGCGAGUCCCAGCAGAGUAGUUCCACAGAUGUGUGUGGGCAGUAGGCACAGACAGAUCCAGUCUUGCAACCCUUUACUCACCCAGGGAGUCACGUUGACUGCAGCAAGACUGUUUCUGUAAAUGCUCACUGUGUACUCCACAGCUGCAGGAUCAGACCAGGAAAUGCCGAGGAAGGGUGGUAUUCAUUGGUGGCAUCUACAAGCUGAAGGGCAAAAACCUGAUCUGGUCACUUUAGGUUGUCUUUACUCUUGACAGAGCCUCUAAGUGGCUCUUCAUCUCAUUCUGUAAUGUUGGAGUGUCUGAGAAAGGUUUAGAGAAUCACAGAACCACAGAAGGGUUUGGUCUAGUUCCAGACCCCCUGCCAGGGGCAGGGCCCCCUCCCCCCAGCCCAGGCUGCUCCCAGCCCCGUCCAGCCUGGCCUUGAGCCCUGCCAGGGAUGGGGCACCCACAGCUGCUCUGGGCAGCCUGGGCCAGCGCCUCGCCGCCCUCACGGGGAAGGGUUUCUUCCUCACGUCCAACCUAAAUCUCCCCUCUCUCAGCUUAAAGCUUUCCCCCUUGUCCUAUUGCUACAGGCCCUGCCCAUUUCUAUACAUACUUAUAGAUUUAUAUAGAAAGAGAGAAAGAAGGAUAUCAAUCUGGGAAGAAAUAGGCCAAACAAGUUGAAAUUACAAUUAUUUUAAAGCAAGCAAGUUGGAAUUAUUGAUUAUUUUAGAGGAUGCAAGCUGAAUUGCCAAAUUCUUACUUAAAAAUGGGAAGUAAAGAGGUGAUGACAACCACAUUUGACAGGUUUUUAGUGUUAAACUUGUUGCCUUUCUCGGAAAGUGUAAAUGACACAGAUAAAGCCAGAGUCCUCCCCAUGUUAGCCCCAUGGCUCAGGAGUCCCUGCAGCCUCAUCUCUUCUUUCGGUGGUCAUGUCUGUUAAUCUCUGUUUCCCCUCUCGUUCCUUCUAAACCUGCCAAUCUCUUUGGCAUCAGCUCCCUUGUAAAAACACUUGCAAUCCUGUUGUAUCAGACCUCCUUGUGUCUGGGAUGUCCACAUCCUUCAGCCAAGGUCUGAGACGGGGUGGAUUUCACAUCUAGCUGGGACCAUGUGUGCGGCACAGAGGUCACUGCUGCCCCAGCACAUGACACUGAUGAUGCCAGGACAUGCUGCUGGUUCUCUCUUCCCAAACUUUAGUGGUGGGCAUGGCCAGAGUGGGAAGGAGAGGUGGCACAACAGUGCAACAAGGAAGAGUGUGAACACCUAUAUAUCUCAGCCCAGAUCUAGUCCCUCCUGGGGCCAGUAGAAAGGACUUUUCUACUAAAACAUUUCCUUCUCCACCACCAGAUCCUUCCUGCUCCAUGCUGGCCAUGACUUCCUUCUCCCUUACAGUCAGAAAAUGCUCUCCUUCAUGGUAACCCCCAAAGGCCAUGUUCUCCAGCCUGACCCAGGCCUUUCCGCUGCUUCCCACCAGUCCCAGCAGACAGCUAGACCAGUGUCCAGCCAUAGAAUGAACCACUAGUCCAGUUCACAGGCAGUAGCUCUCUUCUGGGAUUCCCAGACCUUUCUGGAAGGUCUCAGGAACAGAUACACAAUACAAGUUUAAAUACAUGGGCAACUGAGUGAAAGGUAAAGGCCUGUGAGACGUGUAAGAUCAUAAAGUCUGCGGAUUUUCUGGUAUCUCCCAGAUAUUUCCUUUCCCCUUUGCUCUGUUAUGGGCAUUUAAAAUUUUGCUUGGCUAUUUCUCUUCUACUUCUCAUUAUUUGGGUAAGUUUUCAAGCUACCCAUUUAAGGUCAUGUAUAUAUGAUGACUAGAAACAGAGAAUUUAAAUUGAUACAGUUGUGCAAGGAUUGCGCAUACUGCACCCCAAUUUUUAGGGAUUGUUUUGAUGCCAGAUCAUCUCUAUUUGUUUUCAUGUACUGCUCUUGGGAAGGGAUUUAAGCUACUUUUUAAGAAAAUCUACAAAAAUAAGGGUGUUUCUUUGUUCACAUGUUCCUGCAUAGCCCAAGCAGCCAAGCGAUGAUGGCAUCUGAGGAAGGAGCUGGUGUGUUUGCUUCAGGGUUUUGAAGAACAUGCACGCUCACAUAGGUUUUGGGUCAGCCUGAUGGUCCAUCAACCCAUGUCCUGUUGCAUGGUCAACAGCAGGUACUUAUAAAACAGGGGAAGACUGGUCUUGCUGUAAUUUUCUUCUUCAGGACAGCAGGAGAUGGCAUUUCAGGUGUUGCAUUUAGGAGUCCAGUGGACUUACCUUCCACAGUUUUUUUCUGAUUCUUUUUGAACCUGCAUGCUUUUGAUCACCCCAGCUUCUGCUGACAGUGUGCUCUGGAAAAAGGGAAAACAAAGCAAACCAUCUUUUGGUUUGCUCCAGAACUCUCUGCCCAAAGAUUUUCAUGGAUGAUCCCCAUUUCCUGAGCUCCAAGAAACAAUUGCUUCAUCAUCUUCUCUCCAUUCAGGGUUUCGUAGACUGCUGCUGCCAUUUCUUCCACCAUAUCUUUCCCAGGUUGAGAACUCCUACCAUGUCCCUCCUUGUGUGAAAGAGAUUUCUAUCUCUGGUUAUCCUUUUUUGUCUUCCUCAGAGCAGAACUUCACUCAUUGUUUGAGUAUUAACUCACAUCAUGAGUUUAUUCAGUGGUACAGAGAUGCUUUGGUUUUCAUUCUUCAUCCCUUUCCUAAUAAUUCAUAUCAUCCUGUUUGCUUUUCUUAGCCAGUGCUAAGGAAAGAGCCAACCUUUUCAGAGGACUACCAACAAGGACUCCAAUAUCUCUUUCCCAUGUGGUGAAACAAAUUUAAGGUCCAGAUGUGUGAAAGUUUCUAACUUUGGAAAUAGUAUCAACUGUGAAGAUGAAAGGUUUGAAAAAUAUCUUGUAAAGGAACUGGGCAAAAACAUCCAUGGGAUUUAUUGUAAAAUACAAAGAUAUCACCUGGCCAGGAAGAGCCAGACUGGAAACUGCGGGGAGCUGGGGAACUGCUAUGGAGGACAUUUAUGUUGUGUUUGUCUCGUUCUUCCUAGACGUUUGCUUUUGGUCACCAACAGAGAUAUGAAACUGAGGUAGCUGAACCUUUGCUCUGAGCCAAAAAACCUAUUUUAUCUUCUUAGCCUUUUGUUGGGAGGAGAUUUGUGAGGACAGAGUUGAAGCUGGAAAUGCCCUGCAUGUGCUGGAGAAGUAGCAUUUGAGUCAACGUAGCCUACCCAUACCUCACCAGUGUGGGGAGAAAAGAGAUCUGGAUCCCAGACACUUUCUGUAUAGUCUUCAGAGAGCUGGAUCCCAGGGCAGAAGUUUGAGAGCCCUAAGACAGAGGCAAAUCCUAGGGCCAAGAGCUGAAGAAAUAAAGACAGCUGUUAAGUCCUCAAAGCCAGCUGCCUUCACUUCCCACACUGAGGGCUUGGAUUCCAGACCUCAGCCCAGAAAUAAAUGUUUAAUCUUCAUUGAAAGCUUUAGUUUGGUAGGGAGGCCUCCUAUGACCUCACUUUUUUUUGUAUUGACCAGUGCAGGGCGGUAUAAGCGAUGAAACCUAGUAAUGGGCAAAAACACUGGACAGUGGUGUCAGUAAGAAGGAAGAAGUAUUGAUCACUUCCUAGCAGGUCACACUAAAGCUGGCCUCACAAAAGAUCUGCUGAAGCCUAUUAAUGAAGGCACAUCCUGGGAGAAAUCCUCUUAGAGCAGUGGAGGUGAGAACACAGAUGAUAUUACUGUUCCCAGCACCGCAAUCAUAGCGGAACAGGGCUGGGAAGGGAUAUUGAGAGUUCAGCGGGGCCAUGCCUUUUAUCUCAAGGGAGGAUCAAGUCCAUCCAUGUCAUAUGUCACCAGGCAGACAUGGUGUUAACAUGCUCUGAAAGACUCUCUGUGAUGAAGAUGCCACAACCUUUCCAGCCAAUCUAUUCUUAACCCAGAUCCUCCUGGCUGUGAUUUGGUCCAUUGCUUUUUCCCCCAUCCAGUAUGGGCACGAAAACAAGUUUAUUUCCUUCUCUGUAUCUGUCUUCAUGUCUUCAUAUACCAUGUCUUCUCAAUCCACAGUUCUGCAGACAAUUCUAUCUUAAUUUGGUCAGUUGGGUCCAGUACAACCUCCAUAAUCAUCUAUACUAGUAUAAGUGCUUGUGUGUACACACAUACAUAUGUCUGUGCAUGUAUGUAUAUUUUGAUGAUCAUCUUGACUUCUGGAGCUGGACAAUGCGGGGUUAUCAGGACUGCCACAAGUCUGAAAGUGUUUCCAACAUAAAAGAGCUGUUGGAAAAUUUGUUGUGAAAGAAAUAUUAUCCCUUUUCCCAUUUA
This is a long non-coding RNA of Falco peregrinus (peregrine falcon), 5635 nucleotides long. RefSeq lists it as uncharacterized. The record is from RefSeq and is a predicted model, not a curated record. Lineage: Eukaryota; Metazoa; Chordata; Aves; Falconiformes; Falconidae. The transcript has 2 exons.